AAGGAAGCGAUUCCGGCGGGGGAUGGGCAUGCGGCGCAUUAGCUAGUCGGCGGGGUAACGGCCCACCGAGGCGACGAUGCGUAGGGGUUCUGAGAGGAAGGUCCCCCACACUGUUACUGAUACACGGACCAGACUCCUACGGGAGGCAUCAGUGAGGAAUAUUGGUCAAUGGGCGGGAGCCUGAACCAGCCAAGUCGCGUGAGGGAAGACGGUCCUACGGAUUGUAAACCUCUUUUGCCGGGGAGCAACGGGGUCCUUGCGAGGGCCCUAUGAGAGUACCCGGAGAAAAAGCAUUCUGCUAACUCCGUGCCAGCAGCCGCGGUAAUACGGAGGAUGCGAGCGUUAUCCGGAUUUAUUGGGU
RNAcentral lists this ribosomal RNA (361 nucleotides) under uncultured bacterium. RNAcentral describes it as "bacterial SSU rRNA". It matches the Rfam family "Bacterial small subunit ribosomal RNA", at positions 202 to 559 of the family's 1533-position model. The record is from RNAcentral.